This 460-nucleotide ribosomal RNA is filed under the name uncultured bacterium. Its description in RNAcentral is "partial 16S ribosomal RNA". It matches the Rfam family "Bacterial small subunit ribosomal RNA", at positions 338 to 795 of the family's 1533-position model. The record is from RNAcentral.
CCUACGGGUGGCAGCAGUGAGGAAUAUUGGUCAAUGGGCGGAAGCCUGAACCAGCCAAGUAGCGUGCAGGAUGACGGCCCUACGGGUUGUAAACUGCUUUUAUACGGGAAUAACGCGCCUUACGUGUAGGGCUUUGCAUGUACCGUAUGAAUAAGGACCGGAUAAUUCCGUGCCAGCAGCCGCGGUACUACGGAAGGUCCGGGCGUUAUCCGGAUUUAUUGGGUUUAACGGGAGCGUAGGCCGCAUGUCAAGCGUGCUGUGAAAUGUCCGGGCUCAACCCGGGCCUUGCAGCGGAAACUGGCGAACUUGAGGGCGCGUAAGGCAGGUGGAAUUCGAGGUGUAGGGGUGAAAUGCUUAGAUAUGAGGAAGAACCUCGAUUGCGAAGGCAGCUUUCUGCAGCGGAACUGACGCUGAUGCGCGAAAGCGCGGGUAUCGAACAGGAUUAGAUACCCCAGUAGUC